AGUGAGUGGCGGACGGGUGAGUAACACGUGGGUAACCUGCCCAGAAGCAGGGGAUAACACCUGGAAACAGAUGCUAAUACCGUAUAACAGAGAAAACCGCCUGGUUUUCUUUUAAAAGAUGGCUCUGCUAUCACUUCUGGAUGGACCCGCGGCGCAUUAGCUAGUUGGUGAGGUAACGGCUCACCAAGGCGAUGAUGCGUAGCCGACCUGAGAGGGUAAUCGGCCACAUUGGGACUGAGACACGGCCCAGACUCCUACGGGAGGCAGCAGUAGGGAAUCUUCCACAAUGGACGCAAGUCUGAUGGAGCAACGCCGCGUGAGUGAAGAAGGGUUUCGGCUCGUAAAGCUCUGUUGUUAAAGAAGAACGUGGGUGAGAGUAACUGUUCACCCAGUGACGGUAUUUAACCAGAAAGCCACGGCUAACUACGUGCCAGCAGCCGCGGUAAUACGUAGGUGGCAAGCGUUAUCCGGAUUUAUUGGGCGUAAAGCGAGCGCAGGCGGUCUUUUAAGUCUAAUGUGAAAGCCUUCGGCUCAACCGAAGAAGUGCAUUGGAAACUGGGAGACUUGAGUGCAGAAGAGGACAGUGGAACUCCAUGUGUAGCGGUGAAAUGCGUAGAUAUAUGGAAGAACACCAGUGGCGAAGGCGGCUGUCUGGUCUGUAACUGACGCUGAGGCUCGAAAGCAUGGGUAGCGAACAGGAUUAGAUACCCUGGUAGUCCAUGCCGUAAACGAUGAUUACUAAGUGUUGGAGGGUUUCCGCCCUUCAGUGCUGCAGCUAACGCAUUAAGUAAUCCGCCUGGGGAGUACGACCGCAAGGUUGAAACUCAAAAGAAUUGACGGGGGCCCGCACAAGCGGUGGAGCAUGUGGUUUAAUUCGAAGCUACGCGAAGAACCUUACCAGGUCUUGACAUCUUCUGCCAACCUAAGAGAUUAGGCGUUCCCUUCGGGGACAGAAUGACAGGUGGUGCAUGGUUGUCGUCAGCUCGUGUCGUGAGAUGUUGGGUUAAGUCCCGCAACGAGCGCAACCCUUAUUACUAGUUGCCAGCAUUCAGUUGGGCACUCUAGUGAGACUGCCGGUGACAAACCGGAGGAAGGUGGGGACGACGUCAAAUCAUCAUGCCCCUUAUGACCUGGGCUACACACGUGCUACAAUGGAUGGUACAACGAGUCGCGAAACCGCGAGGUUUAGCUAAUCUCUUAAAACCAUUCUCAGUUCGGACUGUAGGCUGCAACUCGCCUACACGAAGUCGGAAUCGCUAGUAAUCGCGGAUCAGCAUGCCGCGGUGAAUACGUUCCCGGGCCUUGUACACACCGCCCGUCACACCAUGAGAGUUUGUAACACCCAAAGCCGGUGGGGUAACCUUUUAGGAGCUA
Molecule: ribosomal RNA, 1374 nt
Filed under: Pediococcus acidilactici
Lineage: Bacteria; Bacillati; Bacillota; Bacilli; Lactobacillales; Lactobacillaceae
Description: bacterial SSU rRNA
Rfam family: Bacterial small subunit ribosomal RNA
Source: RNAcentral